AACGAACGCUGGCGGCAUGCCUAACACAUGCAAGUCGAACGGAGAUAGGGGCAACCUUAUUUCAGUGGCGGACGGGUGAGGAAUGCGUCGGAAUCUGCCCUAUGGUGGGGGAUAACACAGGGAAACUUGUGCUAAUACCGCAUAAUGUCGAGAGACCAAAGCAGGGGACCGCAAGGCCUUGCGCGAUAGGAUGAGCCGACGCCCGAUUAGCUUGUUGGUAGGGUAAUGGCCUACCAAGGCGACGAUCGGUAGCUGGUCUGAGAGGAUGAUCAGCCACACUGGGACUGAGACACGGCCCAGACUCCUACGGGAGGCAGCAGUGGGGAAUAUUGGACAAUGGGCGCAAGCCUGACGCAGCGACGCCGCGUGGAGGAUGACGGCC
Molecule: ribosomal RNA, 382 nt
Filed under: uncultured bacterium
Lineage: Bacteria
Description: bacterial SSU rRNA
Rfam family: Bacterial small subunit ribosomal RNA
Source: RNAcentral